AUAUUUUUAUAUUAACAAUUUCAGAUGAAGCAAGAUCAGAAGCAACUUUCAGAUUUACAGUUCCCAAUUUCAGCAAACUCAAAGAUACUUUGCUCAGUCCACCUACAUUUGUGAGAAACCUUCCAUGGAAAAUAAUGGUAAUGCCACGAACAAACCAAAGUCAGAGUCGAGAAUUAACGAAAGGAUUAGGAUUCUUUUUACAAUGUAACGGAGAAUCAGAGUCGUCAACUUGGUCCUGUAAUGCAGCAGCAGAAUUAAGACUUAUUGGUCAGAAAGAGGGAACAGAAGAAAAUUUUGUAAGAAAAAUUCAACAUCUAUUCUACAGUAAAGAGAAUGAUUGGGGA
Molecule: long non-coding RNA, 344 nt
Organism: Centruroides sculpturatus (bark scorpion)
Lineage: Eukaryota; Metazoa; Arthropoda; Arachnida; Scorpiones; Buthidae
Exons: 4
Source: RefSeq, a predicted model, not a curated record